CCUACGGGAGGCAGCAGUGGGGAAUAUUGGGCAAUGGGCGCAAGCCUGACCCAGCAAUGCCGCGUGAAGGAAGAAGGCUUUCGGGUUGUAAACUUCUUUUCUCAGGGACGAAGAGAGUGACGGUACCUGAGGAAUAAGCCACGGCUAACUACGUGCCAGCAGCCGCGGUAAUACGUAGGGGGCAAGCGUUAUCCGGAUUUACUGGGAGUAAGGGGCGUGUAGGCGGGAAAGCAAGUCAGAUGUGAAAACCAUGGGCUCAACCUGUGGCCUGCAUUUGAAACUGUUGAUCUGGAGUGUCGGAGAGGUAAGCGGAAUUCCUUGUGUAGCGGUGAAAUGCGUAGAUAUAAGGAAGAACACCAGUGGCGAAGGCGGAUAACUGGACGAUAACUGACGGUGAGGCGCGAAAGCGUGGGGAGCAAACAGGAUUAGAUACCCGUGUAGUC
RNAcentral lists this ribosomal RNA (443 nucleotides) under uncultured bacterium. RNAcentral describes it as "partial 16S ribosomal RNA". It matches the Rfam family "Bacterial small subunit ribosomal RNA", at positions 338 to 795 of the family's 1533-position model. The record is from RNAcentral.